CUCGGUUCAUCUUCUUUCCACCCGAGCACCCCUUUCCUCCUCUCCCGAUCGCUUCCAACAGGCGGCGGCGUUCUUGGCGGAAGCUGCGAGCGACGGCAACGACCUCUGAUCGUGCUCAACUCGCCGGAGUGAUUCUCCGGUGAGUCCCCUUCGUCCAUCACUCCUCCAAAAGCCCUGCUGGAGUGGUCGCAAGGCUGGGAAUUCAAGGAGCGGCGGCGGCAGCGAGCUUCGAUCAUCUCCAUCUCACCGGAGUGGUUCUCCGGUGCUGUCCUCCACCUGCCGGCGUCCGUCAAUCCAUUCCUGCUUCCCGUGGUUUGGAAAGGUAAGAGGAAGAAGCGGCAGCGGCAGUGAGUUCCAUUGCCAUUUCUCCGGCGUCAGUCCAUCCAUUGACGGUGAAUCCUCGAGCUUGAAGUGCCCCUGCCGAAGUGGUUGCAAAGGCAGGAAGAUCCUGAAGGAGCUCGGCAGUCCACCUUCAUUCGCUGGAGACUAGCUUCACGGAGUUGUUCUUGAUUCCGGUUUCAUCCUAUCUGGCCAAGCUCGCUGUGGUUCGCGUGGGCUGAAGCACAGAUCAACGGAGACAGACAGCCCUCCACCUCUUCUGGUCAACUUUCAUCGGAGUGGUUCUUCGGUGGAAGAUUCAUACCAUGGUCGUUGUUGAAGCAAGCGCUACCGGUAUCUUCACUGCUGUCCACCGGAGCUGGUGGUUCCAUCUCCUGGCCUCCAUUGUGACGGCGGGUAGUCAUUUGGAGUUGGUUGUGGAUUUGGGGUUUGGUUAACUUAGUUUAUUUUCAUAUUUGAUUUUGAUCAUUACUUAUCUUAUUGCAUGUUUUUGUUAUCUGAUUAUGCUUGUUCAUUGUGCCUAUUGAUGGUAAUUCUUAUGUCAUAGUGUGACAAUGUGGUGCAGGGUGAUCUUCGAUGGUUAGAUAGCAUUGUUGGUUAAUUCUUGAUGCAUGUUCUUUCUGUUGAUUGUGAUGUCCGUAGCGUAUGGUGACAAUGCGUUGUGAGUUCAUUGUUGAUUGUUAGCUAGGAUUUUGAUUAUUGCAUUAGCAUUAGAGAAAACCCCAGAAAAUCCCCCUUGUUUGACUUCGUCUGAAGACGAAUGUCUUGCCAUUAGUUCUGCGAGAGAGAUUACCCCCGAGUCCUUUACUAUACUGCCUUAGUGUAGAUCAGAGGUUCCGAUUAAUUAUUCAUUGUUAAUUUUGAUUUGAGUGAGUGACAGACGUUCGACUAGUGCCCAGCGAGUAAACAUAUUAUUCAUUUUGAGAACAAGUGAACCUAUCAAGGAAAGCAUUUUCAUAUUGUAUUAAACUAUCAUAGGAACCAGUCACUAAGUGAAUAUAAACUAAAGUUGUAGGCGUGCCAAACUAACAAUUCUUUCUUAAUUGUUUUUCCUAUCGGCCUUGAGACCUAGUCUUGAAAUUUCAUCUGAUGCCAAUAUAUAGAUUAAAAAAACAUGUUUAAGCCAUAUCAACUGUUAGGUAUCUAUUUAUAAGUUAUAAUUGAAUUAGCUUUAUGGUUUUCUCAACAGUUAGGCACCAGCACCAAUGUUGCCAUAGGUAUCCAUGUUUAUAUGUGUUCCUUUUGAAGUACCUUGUCCUUUCACAGCACUAGCAGUUAAUUUCAACACUAUUUUCUGAUCCUGACGGGUGUGAAAAUUUGACUUACUGGCCUCAUCUAACUCAAUGCUAAUUGAUGUAUUUGAGUUGAAGGUUCUCUAUGAUCUUGUCAAAAAAAAAAAAAAAAAAAAAAACUUAAGUACUCAGAACUGUUGUUUUCAAGUAUUCUGAAUUAUUCCAAGAUCACUAUGUAAGAAGUAAAAGGUAAGCACUGAUCGGGGUUGGUGGGACAUAUAUCUUCCUUGAAAUUACUUAAAAAAUAAAAUUUUGUAAAACAAAAUACUCAUAUUCAUCUAUACUCUGUAUGUUACCUUUCUGAUGAAACAUAUUCAAUUCUUAAAGGAUGUGAAAGUAUACAAUUAUACUAUUGAUGAUGGAGAAUGACCCGCAGAUAAAUGAAAAUGAUGAAAUGUAGUUUACUAGGAGGUAAAUUUCCUUCUUUUGAAGGAUUUUACACAUACUAUUUUGUAGGUUCACAGCCUCUGUAUAUAUUUUUAAUCAUGUUACAGAUUGUUUGAUCCAAUUACUGCUGUGUCUGUUUUAUCAGUUCUAAUAUUAUUUUCUAGCAAUACUUUUUUGUUGGAUCAAAGUACGCUUGUCUUACUUGAAACUCUUAGCUUUCCCUUCAUAAAGAAACCAUGUUAAUUAUAUUUGUUUAUUUUUUCAUUCUAGGUUCUUACCCCAAAUAUUCCAGACAUUGUGGUUGUGACUCUUGAAGACAAAAUUCCAUUCUUGAUCAGCAGGGAUCAACUUCCUUUAGAUAAAAUUGAUUGGGAUGUAGUUGAGAAUUCAACUAAACCCUAUAACAUUAAUAUAAUCAAUAAUCUUAUUUUAUUCAGACUUUUAAUAAUCUUAGUAAUUCUAUGUUAGUAUAUAUGAUUUUAUUAAUGGCCAUUGUUUUAUUUAUUAAUUUUAUUAAUAAAUAUUUAUAGUGAGAAUAAAUAAUUUAAAAAGAGCUGUAACAUGCAAUUAAUUAAUAUAAUCCAGUAUUAUUAAUUUGAUAAAUAUUGUUUUAUAAAAUUUUAUCAAUAUUUUUUCAUUAAUCUGAAAAUGUUUAUGAUAAUGGAUAAUAUCAUAUACACACACAUAAUAUCUAUAUAUAUGAUUCUUAUCCUACCAAGUGCCCUUGCUGCACCUCUUCUUCUUUUCUCUUUGCUCUCAGCUUAAUCUUUUCCUCCUUCUUAUCCUCCACUUCCUCUGUGUCAAGCAAUACUGUUGUUAACAUUGAAGUAUCUCAGGGUACACCAGACUAGUCAAUACUUUAAUGUAUCAUUCUAGCAUGAUGCUAUUACUGAAACAUACUGAGACCUUAUAACUUACUAUUUGGCAUAUGGAAUCAUUUGGAAAUGUAAAGAAAUAUACCCAAUAAUUUCAACUUCAGAGGUAAGUGCUAUCCUAAUCAAAAAAUGAUGCUGAAGUUGGCCAGUGUAAAAUAAUGUAAACAAAUAUACCCUAAGUUAAGUUGCUAUAUGUUUUGGGGUCAGACUAUACUUGGCAUAGAGUGUAUAGAUUAGGCUCUAUCUACAGUUUGAUGCUUUGCGAGGAGGUAACCUAAUCAAAAUUACUAAUAGAUUAUUAGGGAGAGUGUUAUCUUGUUCCAACUUCUAAGGCUUCCUUCAACUUGAUAAAGAAAGUCCCUCUUCUAUCAUUUAUUCAACCUUUGUAAACUUAUUGUUAUAAAUAUCAUUUUCAAAUAAAGUAGUACAAUAUGAAAUUGUUGUUAAUGUUGAUAGUGAAUAUUAAGCAAUAUUAGUGGAAUAUCUUUUGUAAGUGGAUAGUAAUUAUCUGCAAAAGAUUGUUUAGAUAUGUGAAAGCCGUAAGAUAUCCUCUCUAAUGCUAAUGCUGAUGCUGCUGGAGGUAACAUAUCUUGAUACUGAUGCUGAUGCGGCUGGUGAGGUAACAUAUCCAGAUGCUGAUGCUGCUGGAGAGGUAACAUAUCCAGAUGCUGAUGCUGCUGAAGGUAGUUGAAGUUCUCACAGAAUCAUUGACUUUAAAUGAAACACCCGUACCAACAAAAGUUGCAAGGCUUAUGUUGGUGUCUGAUAUUCUCCAUAACAGCAGCACUCCAAUUAAGAAUGCUUCUACAUAUCGUACAAAAUUUGAAGCUACCCUUCCUGAUAUAAUUGAGAGCUUUACUGACUUAUAUCGCAGCAUUUACUGGAGGAAUCACUGCUGAAGCUUUGAAGGUGAGAUCAGGGAUAUGGACUCAGUAGCCAUGGAUCCAUUUGAGUCUUUGAUGAUGGAGGCAGCUGAAGUUGACGAUAUUGAUCACAUGAAGAAGAGGCUCACUACCAUUAAGACACGUGAGUUGGUUCAAUUGAUACAUGAUCAAGGGAAACAAGUUUGGUUCAUCCAACAAGGGAAGAAGCUCAAGUCAAAAUUAAUUCAACCCAUCACAAGGAAUCACCUCUCAAGCUUAACCCAAGUCAAAUCCUCCUCACCAAAAUCCUAAAACCCCACUUAAACCAAACCCAAAGCUAUUGUUUACAACCGGUUCAAACCCAUGUAUAAAACUCAGAUUUCUCGCGGAUGAAUAGUAGCUCGGGUUAUUGUUCAUCCGUGUUUUUUUUCUCCCGCGGCUCCCGAUUCACCUCCGAUUAACUCCUCAAGUGCCAACGUCAGAGAGGGAGUUUCAAGGUAGCUACUAGACUAUCUUUUGACUACUUGGAAUUCGCCGGAGGGAGGUUUCGACAGCGAAUUUGUUGUUGUCCGAACUUUCUAUUUCUGCCACAGAUUUGGAGGCGUUCCUCCGAUCUGUGAUUUCACUUCUCAUCAGCAACAUUUGGAGGCAUUUUUCUGUUGUUACUGAGCUCCUUCCAAUGACCACUCACCAUCUGCGGCCUUCAUCCAGAUUCAGUGAUACAGUUUCCUUCGUCGACGGCGAAAUCUGAGCAACUAGUAACCGUCGUCCGAGGAUCAAAGCGUGGUAGGCGGUGUUUUCCCUGUUCGCGAUCUUGAUUUCUGCGUUCCCCUGCUUACAUAGAUCAGAGGGCGUUUCCCCGAUCUAAGUUUCCAUCAUCCAAUAUAGUUGUUCGCAAACUUGAAGGGCGUUUCCUAGGAGUUGUGAGUAUCAUCAGUACCAGCUUGGCAUUCAGUUUUUCUUCAUUGAUUGCUUGAAGGGCGUUUCCCAAAGGCAUAUCUGUUCUUAGUUGGGAGUUGGGAUCUUCUUCGUUGAUUGCUUUCAGGAUGUUUUUUAAGGAGCGUUUUUGUGUGACGACAAGAGGGUUUAUUGUAGAGUUGGUUGCGAGUUUAAUUGGUUCCCUUAAUUUCAUUUACUGUUUUUAUAGCUUAGAAUUAGUUUGCCGUUUAGUUAAAUUUCUUAUGUGUUUUGCUAUUUCGUACCUUAGUUUAAUUGUGUUGAUAGUUAAACCCAUAGCGUAGAGUGACAAUGUAUUGUGGAUUAAUUGUUGGCACUUAGUUAGCUUUUAUUCAUGCAUUAGAUUAGUUUCUUACUGUUUAGUUUUUUCAUUUGUUAGAUUUAGAAUUAAAAUUAACAACCCCCAUUUCAAUGAGGAAAACUUCAAAAAUAUUCUAAGUCUAAGACAAACAUUCGAUUGUUAGUUCCUUGAGAGAUUCGACUUGGGCUCUUUAUUACGAUAUCAUUGUGUAGCUAAGGGGUUCAUUGAAUAUAAAUUAAUUUGAUUUGUUGGUAUGACAGAUUUGUUGUCAGAAUCACACAUUCGGACUUCAUCAAUCGAGAAACAAAUAUCCCGACCUCCUGUAGGAAUUUCAUAUCCGGAUUUCAACCCAUUCGAAAUCAAACAUCUUGACCUCUUGGCAGAAUCCCACAUCUGGACUUCGUGCCUAGUGUUUUGUCUUCUUGACCCGUUUAAUUAGACAGCCCUACACACUCGGUAAUAAGGUUGAUCAACAACACAUCUAACUUUAAUCCAUUUAUUAUUCAUCAAAAUCAAAGUUUGAUCAUUGGUGCCAAUUUCACCAACAAAUUCAUCAUGAAUGACACCACCUUCAUCGGUUGCGAAGCGGUGGGGUUUUUCAUGUAGUGGCUGGCGCUGGUAGAAUCGCAUACAGUGGUGUUGCUCGUCAUCCUCGGCAUCAUGUACGGCCACAUACUCAUGGAACUCGCUCAGAAGAUGCUAAGGAUGUGACUUUUUUUUUUAUAUUUCCUAAUAAUUAGAAGGCAACCACCUCCUACAGUCUUCUCUAGUUGAGAGAGUCCUCACGAACAGAGUCCUCGUGAAGCUGCUUCCCAAGGCAAUCAUCUCAAUCAUCUUCUCUGUAAGUUUCUAAAUACCCAUCUUCUUCUCCAUGAGUUUUAUCGAUAAGUUUCUGAGUACACAUUGUCCAUUGAUCUUCUCGGUAAGUUUCUUUCUCUAUCAAUUUUCUGAGUACCGUUUUUGUUCUCCGUAGAAUUUCUGAGCACCCCGUUAAGUUGUUGUACUCUGGUCAAAAUGAGCUCUCCAUCCUCCACUACCUUUUCUUCCCUUCAAUCCAUAUUCAGCCAUAGAGAUAUGGUUGACACAUUGCUGAUGACUCUGGGCUUCGUUGAUGCCGUCGGCGAUGGCUUAUUGACACUUACCUUUUUUAUGUUCAUCCACAUAAUCUUCAAUGCCAUAGGUGAGGGUUCUAUCGAAGCAGUUAACGAGGUACAAAUUAUUUGUGUUUAGUAUUUUUCAUUGCUCUCUUUUAUUCUAAGUUGCAUUCUGUUCAGAGCGUACUCAAUUUGGUGUAUUUGACCGGCGGUAGCUUCUUAGCAUCAUUUAUGGGUAAGACUUGUUGAUUUGAUUGAGUUGAUCAUUUUAUUCAGGGGCGUUUGGUUAAAUGAUGGGAAUGACUAUGAGUAUGGAUUUGAUAGUAGGGUGGAAUGGGAAUAGGAAUGAAAAUGAAACCCAUCAAGUUAUAUGAGUUUGGUUGAUUCCCAUAAAUCUAAUAAUCAUUCCCAAAAUGUCAUUCCUAAACUCACAAUCCAAACAUUGUCUUUUACUAUCAUUUCAUUUCCUCAUUCCCAAACCCAUUAACCAAACACCCCCUUAAUUUAUUAUUGAUUUGAAUUGAUUGAGGUGAUUUGGCAGAGGGCAAUUGUUGGAUGAGAACAGGGGAGAGACAGGCGUUGCAGAUGCGGGCAUGGUAUCUUUUAGCGAUUCUCUAACAGGAUGUCAAAUACUUUGACCUUAACACCGACACCGACACUGAAGUCAUCACUAGCUUCACCAGAGACAACCUUAUCAUACAAGAUUGCCUUAGCGAGAAGGUGCCCAACUUCAUCAUAAACGAUGCCACCAUCGGCUGCUACAAUGUGUGGUUUUUCAUGAUAUAGCGGAUGACUCUAGUGGCAUUGCCUACAGUGGUAUUGCUCGUCAUCCCCGGCAUCAUGUACGGCUGCAUCCUCAUAGAGCUCACUUAGAAGAUGUGAAGGAUGUGACUUUCAUUUUACAUUUCCUAAUAAUUAGAAGGCAACCACCUAUAAUUCUCCUCGAGUUGAGAGAGUCCUCACGAAGCUACUUUCCAAGGCAACCACCUCGAUCUUCUUUUCCAUAAGUUUCUAACUACCCAUCUUCUUCUCCGUGAGUUUCUCCGACAUGUUUCUCAGUAUACAUUGUCCAUUUAUUUUCUUCUUGGUAAGUUUUUUUCUUUGUCAAGUUUGUGAGUAACAUUUUUGUUCUCCGUCUAGUAUUUGAGUACCCCAUCAAGUAGCUGUACUCCGAUCAAAAUGAGAUCUCCAUCCUCCACUCUUUCUUCCCUUCAAUCCAUAUUCAAUCAUAGAGACAUGGUUGACACGCUGCUGAUGACUCUGGGCUUUGACGACACCAUUGGCGAUGGCAUAUUGACAAUUGCUUUGUUAAUGUUCACUCACGUAAUCUUUAACAACAUGGGUAAAGGUUCCAUCGAAGCAGUUAACAAGAAAUUAAUGGAGAUGACAACGAAUUGAGGAGAAGAACACCGAUUCGGUCCAAUUCAAUUGUUGGGUGUUUAAGAAGAUCAAGUGAAGAACCCAUUUUAAACUCAAUUUUAGAAGCCAAAUAUCAAAAACCUCUAGUCCGAUCUAAAGCUCAGUCCAAGAAGAAACCCUAACAUCUUAUUCCAAUUGAACUCUAACAUCUCCUGGCCUCCCGUGUGACGGCGGGUAGUCAUUUGGAGUUGGUUGCAGAUUUGGAGUUUGGUUAAAUUAGUUUAUUUUCAUGUUUGAUUUUGAUCAUUACUUAUCUUAUGCAUGUUUUUGUUAUCUGAUUA
Molecule: long non-coding RNA, 7808 nt
Organism: Zingiber officinale
Lineage: Eukaryota; Viridiplantae; Streptophyta; Magnoliopsida; Zingiberales; Zingiberaceae
Exons: 5
Source: RefSeq, a predicted model, not a curated record